AGUACCCCGAGGAGAAGAAAUCAACCGAGAUUCCGGUAGUAGCGGCGAGCGAACCUGGAUUAGCCCUUAAGCACUCGAUGAAGUAGGUGAACAAGCUGGAAAGCUUGGCGAUACAGGGUGAUAGCCCCGUAACCGACGCUUCAUCGAGCGUGAAAUCGAGUAGGGCGGGACACGUGAUAUCCUGUCUGAAUAUGGGGGGACCAUCCUCCAAGGCUAAAUACUCCUGACUGACCGAUAGUGAACCAGUACCGUGAGGGAAAGGCGAAAAGAACCCCUGUGAGGGGAGUGAAAUAGAACCUGAAACCGUGUACGUACAAGCAGUAGGAGCACCUUCGUGGUGUGACUGCGUACCUUUUGUAUAAUGGGUCAGCGACUUAUAUUCAGUGGCAAGGUUAACCGUAUAGGGGAGCCGUAGCGAAAGCGAGUCUUAACUGGGCGCUCAGUCUCUGGAUAUAGACCCGAAACCGGGUGAUCUAGCCAUGGGCAGGUUGAAGGUUGAGUAACAUCAACUGGAGGACCGAACCGACUAAUGUUGAAAAAUUAGCGGAUGACUUGUGGCUAGGGGUGAAAGGCCAAUCAAACUCGGAGAUAGCUGGUUCUCCCCGAAAGCUAUUUAGGUAGCGCCUCGGACGAAUACUACUGGGGGUAGAGCACUGUUAAGGCUAGGGGGUCAUCCCGACUUACCAACCCUUUGCAAACUCCGAAUACCAGUAAGUACUAUCCGGGAGACACACGGCGGGUGCUAACGUCCGUCGUGGAGAGGGAAACAACCCAGACCGCCAGCUAAGGUCCCAAAGUAUUGCUAAGUGGGAAACGAUGUGGGAAGGCUCAGACAGCUAGGAUGUUGGCUUAGAAGCAGCCAUCAUUUAAAGAAAGCGUAAUAGCUCACUAGUCGAGUCGGCCUGCGCGGAAGAUGUAACGGGGCUAAGCAAUACACCGAAGCUGCGGCAAUGUCUUUUAGAUAUUGGGUAGGGGAGCGUUCUGUAAGCCGUUGAAGGUGAAUCGUAAGGUUUGCUGGAGGUAUCAGAAGUGCGAAUGCUGACAUGAGUAACGACAAAGGGGGUGAAAAACCUCCUCGCCGGAAGACCAAGGGUUCCUGUCCAACGUUAAUCGGGGCAGGGUGAGUCGACCCCUAAGGUGAGGCCGAAAGGCGUAAUCGAUGGGAAACGGGUUAAUAUUCCCGUACUUCUGACUAUUGCGAUGGGGGGACGGAGAAGGCUAGGUGGGCCAGGCGACGGUUGUCCUGGUUCAAGUGCGUAGGCUUGAGAGUUAGGUAAAUCCGGCUCUCUCUAAGGCUGAGACACGACGUCGAGCUGCUACGGCAGUGAAGUCAUUGAUGCCAUGCUUCCAGGAAAAGCCUCUAAGCUUCAGAUAGUCAGGAAUCGUACCCCAAACCGACACAGGUGGUCGGGUAGAGAAUACCAAGGCGCUUGAGAGAACUCGGGUGAAGGAACUAGGCAAAAUGGUACCGUAACUUCGGGAGAAGGUACGCUCUUGAUGGUGAAGUCCCUCGCGGAUGGAGCUGACGAGAGUCGCAGAUACCAGGUGGCUGCAACUGUUUAUUAAAAACACAGCACUGUGCAAAAUCGCAAGAUGACGUAUACGGUGUGACGCCUGCCCGGUGCCGGAAGGUUAAUUGAUGGGGUUAGCGCAAGCGAAGCUCUUGAUCGAAGCCCCGGUAAACGGCGGCCGUAACUAUAACGGUCCUAAGGUAGCGAAAUUCCUUGUCGGGUAAGUUCCGACCUGCACGAAUGGCGUAAUGAUGGCCACGCUGUCUCCACCCGAGACUCAGUGAAAUUGAAAUCGCUGUGAAGAUGCAGUGUACCCGCGGCUAGACGGAAAGACCCCGUGAACCUUUACUACAGCUUGGCACUGAACAUUGAACCUACAUGUGUAGGAUAGGUGGGAGGCUAUGAAGACGUGACGCCAGUUGCGUUGGAGCCGUCCUUGAAAUACCACCCUUGUAUGU
This 1969-nucleotide ribosomal RNA is filed under the name Vibrio cholerae. Its description in RNAcentral is "partial 23S ribosomal RNA". It matches the Rfam family "Bacterial large subunit ribosomal RNA", at positions 205 to 2213 of the family's 2925-position model. The record is from RNAcentral. Lineage: Bacteria; Pseudomonadati; Pseudomonadota; Gammaproteobacteria; Vibrionales; Vibrionaceae.